AAUGUUAUGCCUGAAAAAGGAAUAAAUUGUAAAUUUAUUUAUGAAAUUUAUAUUUCUAACAUUA
Molecule: transfer RNA, 64 nt
Filed under: Seladonia aeraria
Lineage: Eukaryota; Metazoa; Arthropoda; Insecta; Hymenoptera; Halictidae
Description: tRNA-Tyr
Source: RNAcentral